GAUGAACGCUGACAGCAUGCUUAACACAUGCAAGUCAACUUGAAUUUGGGUUUUUACCUUAGGUUUGGGUGGCGGACGGGUGAGUAACGCGUAAAGAACUUGCCUCACAGCUAGGGACAACAUUUGGAAACGAAUGCUAAUACCUAAUAUUAUGAUAAUAGGGCAUCCUAUAAUUAUGAAAGCUAUAAGCGCUGUGAGAGAGCUUUGCGUCCCAUUAGCUAGUUGGAGAGGUAACGGCUCACCAAGGCGAUGAUGGGUAGCCGGCCUGAGAGGGUGAUCGGCCACAAGGGGACUGAGACACGGCCAGUACUCCUACGGGAGGCAGCAGUGGGGAAUAUUGGACAAUGGACCGAGAGUCUGAUCCAGCAAUUCUGUGUGCACGAUGAAGUUUUUCGGAAUGUAAAGUGCUUUCAGUUGGGAAGAAACAAAUGACGGUACCAACAGAAGAAGUGACGGCUAAAUACGUG
Molecule: ribosomal RNA, 467 nt
Filed under: uncultured bacterium
Lineage: Bacteria
Description: partial 16S ribosomal RNA
Rfam family: Bacterial small subunit ribosomal RNA
Source: RNAcentral